This 484-nucleotide ribosomal RNA is filed under the name uncultured bacterium. Its description in RNAcentral is "partial 16S ribosomal RNA". It matches the Rfam family "Bacterial small subunit ribosomal RNA", at positions 30 to 507 of the family's 1533-position model. The record is from RNAcentral.
AUUGAACGCUGGCGGCAGGCCUAACACAUGCAAGUCGAGCGGAUGAAGGGAGCUUGCUCCUGGAUUCAGCGGCGGACGGGUGAGUAAUGCCUAGGAAUCUGCCUGGUAGUGGGGGAUAACGUCCGGAAACGGGCGCUAAUACCGCAUACGUCCUGAGGGAGAAAGUGGGGGAUCUUCGGACCUCACGCUAUCAGAUGAGCCUAGGUCGGAUUAGCUAGUUGGUGGGGUGAAGGCCUACCAAGGCGACGAUCCGUAACUGGUCUGAUAGGCUGAUCAGUCACAUGGGAAGUUGGACACGGUCCAGACUCCUACGGGAGGCAGCAGUGGGGAAUAUUGGACAAUGGGCGAAAGCCUUAUCCAGCCAUGCCGCGUGUGUGAAGAAGGUCUUCGGAUUGUAAAGCACUUUAAGUUGGGAGGAAGGGCAGUAAGUUAAUACCUUGCUGUUUUGACGUUACCAACAGAAUAAGCACCGGCUAACUUCGUG